UAGACUGCCUUUCAAGUUUAUUUAGAACCCCACAGCACUUUAGCCUGUGGUGGUAGCAGGGCUUGCCAGAACUCAGAUUUUGACUGCUGGAGUGGGUGAUUCCCCUCUGGUGAGGGCUGGUAUAAAUGCUCCUUGCAUGCAUACAGGCUGAAUUCUGCCCUCUGUUAGUUUCCACUGUGACAGAACAGCACUGAGUUCCAAUGUCAAGUCUUACAAUCACUGCAUUCUCCUUCACCAAGUACACAGAUUCUCUCUCCACACCAUGGGGCCAGGGCCACUGCCAGGAGAUGGGGAAAAGGUGGCAUUGGCAAUUUUAGGCUGCCUUUACUAAUGUCUUCAAUGCCUCUUUCUGUGAUAUGAAGAUAAAACCAGAAGUCAAAUUCUACUGAAGUGACGGAGUGAGAACAAGAGCGACUAAGAUAGAGAAAGAAAGAGAGAGAGACAGAGAGAGAGAGAGAGAGAGAG
This 465-nucleotide long non-coding RNA is filed under the name Homo sapiens (human). RNAcentral describes it as "HSALNT0202427". Lineage: Eukaryota; Metazoa; Chordata; Mammalia; Primates; Hominidae. The record is from RNAcentral.